Non-coding RNA from Candidatus Fraserbacteria bacterium RBG_16_55_9, 3029 nucleotides. The record is from Rfam. Lineage: Bacteria; Candidatus Fraseribacteriota.
GCGCAAGCUCAGUACGGGCAGAUGGUGGAUGCCUUGGUAGCUGAAGGCGAUGAAGGACGUGGUAGGCUGCGAAAAGCCUCGGGGAGUCGCCGAGCAGACGUUGAUCCGAGGAUUUCCGAAUGGGGUAACCCGCUCCGCGGAAGGCGGAGAAUCAUUCUCCGAACUGAGUAGGAGGAUGAAGCGAACCCGGGGAAGUGAAGCAUCUCAGUACCCGGAGGAAGAGAAAUCAAUUGAGAUUCCCUGAGUAGCGGCGAGCGAAACGGGAAGAGCCCAAACUCGAGAAACCUAUAGGCUGCAUCCGUUGUUUCCCGGGGGUUGUAAGCGACCCAUCCUGUCCAUGCAGGGGCAGGCGGAGUUACACGCGAGGUCUAGCCGAACGGCCGGCAAAGCCACUGGAACGGGCGACCGAAGAGGGUGAUAGUCCCGUAGGCGAAAGGCUAAGCGACUCCGGAGGUCUGCUUGAGUAACGUCGUACCCGUGAUACGGCGUGAAGCUGGGGAGACCACUCUCCAAGGCUAAAUACUAACAGCUGACCGAUAGUGAAUAUAGUACCGCGAGGGAAAGGUGAAAAGAACCCCGGAAGGGGAGUGAAAUAGAGCCUGAAACCAUCUGCCCACAGGCAGUGGGAGGGUCCCGGCGUCUUAAGUUGCGCUUCCAAGCCCCGCAAGGGAGGAGGGAGCGUGGACGGGGCGCUGGCCUGACCUCGUGCCUUUUGCAGUAUGAUCCGGCGAGUUGUUUUCGGUGGCGAGGUUAAGCUGGGUACGUCCAGCGGAGCCGAAGCGAAAGCGAGUCCGAAUGGGGCGACAAGUCACCGGGAACAGACCCGAAGCCAGGCGAUCUACCCAUGGCCAGGGUGAACUCCGAGUAACAUCGGAGGGAGGCCCGAACUCGUGGAUGAGGAAAAAUCCUGGGAUGAGCUGUGGGUAGCGGUGAAAAGCCCGCCGGGCCCUGGUAAUAGCUGGUUCUCCCCGAAAUAGUUUUAGGACUAGCCUCACCUGAGAAGUCCGCGGGGGUAGAGCACUGGAUGGGUGCGGCGCAAGCCAAACCCAACCAAACUCCGAAUACCGCGGAUGAAUCGGUGGGAGUCAGACUGUGGGGGAUAACCUUCAUAGUCGUGAGGGAAACGGCCCAGACCGCCAGUUAAGGCCCCCAAGUCCGAGCUAAGUGUGAAAGGAUGUCUCUCUACUUAAACAGCUGGGAGGUUGGCUUAGAAGCAGCCAUCCUUUAAAGAGUGCGUAAUAGCUCACCAGUCGAGUGGGGGGGCGCCGAAGAUGUAACGGGGCUCAAGUUCGGCGCCGAAACUGCGGAUUCGUUCCGUCUUCGGACGGAAUGAGUGGUAGGGGAGCGUUCCCAGCGGAGCGAAGUCGAGCCGUAAGGCCAGAUGGACUGCUGGGAAGUGAGAAUGCCGGAAUGAGUAGCGCGAGUCGAGUGAGAAACUCGACCACCGAAUGCCUAAGGUUUCCUGGGGAAGGCUCAUCCACCCAGGGUUAGGCGGCCCUAAGGUGAACCCGAAAGGGGUAGCCGAUGGACAGCCGGUUAAUAUUCCGGCCCCUCUUCCCCGCGUUGACUAUGGGGGGACGCCGCAGGUCGGGACGAGCGGGGUAUUGGAUUCCCCGUGCAAGCGCCAAGACAUCGGGCUCCAGGCAAAUCCGGAGUCCGGUCAAGUCGAGGCGUGAUGCGGAGGGCCUACGGGCCCGAAGGAAGUCUGAUCCGCGGCCGAGAAAAACCUCUAAGGAGCUGGGGAGAGACCGUACCGAACUCUGACACAGGUAGGCAAGUAGAGUAUACUCAGGUGGGCGAGAGAAUCCUCGUUAAGGAACUCGGCAAAAUGACCCCGUACGUUCGCAAUAAGGGGUGCCCGGAGCAAUCCGGGCCGCAGAGAGCAGGCUCUGGCGACUGUUUAGUAAAAACACAGCUCCCUGCUAACUCGAAAGAGGAUGUAUAGGGAGUGAGACCUGGCCACUACUGGAAGGUCAAGGGGAGGAGUUCACGCUCCGAACUGAAGCCCCAGUGAAGGCCGGCCGUAACUAUAACGGUCCUAAGGUAGCGAAGUUCCUUGUCGGGUAAGUUCCGACGCGCAUGAAUGGUAUAACGACUGGAGCGCUGUCUUAACGAGGAGCUCGGCGAAAUUGAAGCGUCGGUGAAAAUGCCGACGACCCGCGGCAGGACGGAAAGACCCCGUGGAGCUUUACUGGAGUUUGGCAUUGGGUCUUGGUGGUCACUGUGUAGGAUAGGUGGGAGCCUAUGAGGCCGGGGCGCUAGCCUCGGCGGAGGCGUCCUUGAAAUACCACCCUUUGAGUAUUAGGACUCUAACUGACCGCCGUGACGAGCGGCGGAAGGACCGUGCUAAGCGGACAGUUUGACUGGGGCGGUCGCCUCCCAAAGAGUAACGGAGGCGCGCAAAGGUCGGCUCAAGCCGGUUGGCGAUCGGCUGUGGAGGGCAUGGGCACAAGCCGGCUUCACUGCAAGAGAGACAUCUCGAGCAGAUGCGAAAGCAGGUCCAAGUGACCCGGUGGUCCCGUGUGGAAGGGCCAUCGAUCAUCGGAUAAAAGUUACCCCGGGGAUAACAGGCUAGUCUCGCCCGAGAGUCCACAUCGACGGCGAGGUUCGGCACCUCGAUGUCGGCCCAUCUCAUCCUGGGGCUGAAGCAGGUCCCAAGGGUCCGUCUGUUCGCCGGUUAAAGAGGUACGCGAGCUGGGUUUAGACCGUCGCAAGACAGGUCGGUCCAUAUCCGCCGCGGGCGUAGGAGGCUUGAGGGACGCUCCCUCUAGUACGAGAGGACCGAGGGGGCUGGACCGCUGGUGUACCAGUUGUCCCGCCAGGGGCAUCGCUGGGUAGCUAGGUCUGGACGGGAUAAACGCUGAAGGCAUCUAAGCGUGAAGCCCACCCCAAGAUAAGGCCUCCGAUUCACCCCUCCUUCGGGAGGGAGGAAGUAAGGUCCCUGCGAGAACAGCAGGUAGAUAGGCCGCAGGUGGAAGCGCAGUAAUGCGUGGAGCCGAGCGGUCCUAAUCGACCGAGCGCUUGUGCGA